Molecule: ribosomal RNA, 497 nt
Filed under: uncultured bacterium
Lineage: Bacteria
Description: partial 16S ribosomal RNA
Rfam family: Bacterial small subunit ribosomal RNA
Source: RNAcentral
GAUGAACGCUGGCGGCGUGCCUAACACAUGCAAGUCGAGCGAACAGAUGAGGAGCUUGCUCCUCUGACGUUAGCGGCGGACGGGUGAGUAACACGUGGAUAACCUACCUAUAAGACUGGGAUAACUUCGGGAAACCGGAGCUAAUACCGGAUAAUAUAUUGAACCGCAUGGUUCAAUAGUGAAAGACGGUUUUGCUGUCACUUAUAGAUGGAUCCGCGCCGCAUUAGCUAGUUGGUAAGGUAACGGCUUACCAAGGCAACGAUGCGUAGCCGACCUGAGAGGGUGAUCGGCCACACUGGAACUGAGACACGGUCCAGACUCCUACGGGGGGCAGCAGUAGGGAAUCUUCCGCAAUGGGCGAAAGCCUGACGGAGCAACGCCGCGUGAGUGAUGAAGGUCUUCGGAUCGUAAAACUCUGUUAUUAGGGAAGAACAAAUGUGUAAGUAACUAUGCACGUCUUGACGGUACCUAAUCAGAAAGCCACGGCUAACUACGUG